CCUACGGGUGACAGCAGUGGGGAAUAUUGCACAAUGGGGGAAACCCUGAUGCAGCGACGCCGCGUGAGCGAUGAAGUAUUUCGGUAUGUAAAGCUCUAUCAGCAGGGAAGAAGAUGACGGUACCUGACUAAGAAGCCCCGGCUAACUACGUGCCAGCAGCCGCGGUAAUACGUAGGGGGCAAGCGUUAUCCGGAUUUACUGGGUGUAAAGGGAGCGUAGACGGCGAUGCAAGCCAGAUGUGAAAGCCCGGGGCUCAACCACGGGACUGCAUUGGGAACUGGGUGGCUGGAGUGCCGGAGAGGCAGGCGGAAUUCCUAGUGUAGCGGUGAAAUGCGUAGAUAUUAGGAGGAACACCAGUGGCGAAGGCGGCCUGCUGGACGAUGACUGACGUUGAGGCUCGAAAGCGUGGGGAGCAAACAGGAUUAGAUACCCGAGUAGUC
RNAcentral lists this ribosomal RNA (440 nucleotides) under uncultured bacterium. RNAcentral's name for it is "partial 16S ribosomal RNA". It matches the Rfam family "Bacterial small subunit ribosomal RNA", at positions 338 to 795 of the family's 1533-position model. The record is from RNAcentral.